UUGGCUUCACUUCAGUCGCUCCCUUCAGGUACGUCUCUAACUUCAACUCUUUUAUUAGGUUCUCUAUACAAUAUAAUAGCCAAUUCAAUGUUACAGACAAUGAUAAAGAUAUGAAGGCCUGAAGGGUUGUGACUGGGUGUUGUUGUUGGUCGAAGACGAAGCAGUUGGCGAUGUUGAUCAUGGCGCCGAUUACGUCCAUCUUUGAAGCUCUAAUAUCUGUGAGUAAGAUUAGAUUUAUCUUUCUUCCUCCCUAUAUAUCAUUCUUGUAUAGCUUGAUUAAUCUAAGGUCUUAUUUUCUGCUGAAUCUAAAUGUGAGAUGUCGUAGUGUAUGUAAUUUGGGGUAAUUUCAAUUGCCCUCUUAUUCAUUUGAUUAUUUGUGCAAUUGUUAAACCCUGAAUUGAGAAUGUUUUCUUCUAAUUAGUUUUCAGAAACAAAAUAAAAGUUUGAUCGAUUUGGGUCUGUGCUGCCAUAUUUUGGUUCCACGUUUCAGGUUGGAGUCUCAACUUCCACAAGAUAAGGGGAGCUUGCACUGGAAGGAGAUCAUUAUUUGACAACAGGGGAGCUUUGUGAUCCAGAAGAAUACGGUUCAUG
This is a long non-coding RNA of Rosa chinensis, 591 nucleotides long. RefSeq lists it as uncharacterized. The transcript is spliced from 3 exons. NCBI's taxonomy places the organism in Eukaryota, Viridiplantae, Streptophyta, Magnoliopsida, Rosales, Rosaceae. The record is from RefSeq and is a predicted model, not a curated record.